AAAUGCUUAUUGAGUCGCUAGCUCAUUCCUUAGCAAUUUUUUUUUCAGGUUAGUGCAGUUGUAGAUAGCCUUAGCUGUGCAUUGCUCUUUUUGCAUGAGUCAAUAUUAUCAGGUGGGCCAGAGGAGUUAUCUAAAGAAUUGGGGCAUUUUGGAAACUUGUGUGAAUUAAACUACUGUAUAAAUAUUUCUUAUAUAUAUUAAGUAUGUCAUGCCACUUAAAUUGUAUGAAUGUAUAUUGUAACUAAGUAGUAAAUUAUGUUUAUAAAGUUAUAUAUAUAUAUAUUGCUAUUCAAUGGGAAGUUUGAGUUGGGG
RNAcentral lists this long non-coding RNA (312 nucleotides) under Ricinus communis (castor bean). RNAcentral describes it as "long non-coding RNA (RCOM_LNC000626)". The record is from RNAcentral. Lineage: Eukaryota; Viridiplantae; Streptophyta; Magnoliopsida; Malpighiales; Euphorbiaceae.